CUGGCUCAGGACGAACGCUGGCGGCGUGCCUAAUACAUGCAAGUAGAACGCUGAAGACUUUAGCUUGCUAAA
RNAcentral lists this ribosomal RNA (72 nucleotides) under Streptococcus equinus JB1. Its description in RNAcentral is "16S rRNA. Bacterial SSU". The record is from RNAcentral. Lineage: Bacteria; Bacillati; Bacillota; Bacilli; Lactobacillales; Streptococcaceae.